This 361-nucleotide unclassified non-coding RNA is filed under the name Homo sapiens (human). Its description in RNAcentral is "dopamine receptor D4 (ENSG00000276825.2)". The record is from RNAcentral. Lineage: Eukaryota; Metazoa; Chordata; Mammalia; Primates; Hominidae.
UGGGCAACAAGAGCGAAACUCCGUCUCAAAAAACAAAAAGAAAAACAAAUCAGCCGGGGGUGGUGGCGCGCGGCUGUAAUCCCAGCUACUCUGGAGACUGAGGUCCAGGGUGGCGCGUGGCUGCUGAGCCCCCGCCUGUGCGACGCCCUCAUGGCCAUGGACGUCAUGCUGUGCACCGCCUCCAUCUUCAACCUGUGCGCCAUCAGCGUGGACAGGUUCGUGGCCGUGGCCGUGCCGCUGCGCUACAACCGGCAGGGUGGGAGCCGCCGGCAGCUGCUGCUCAUCGGCGCCACGUGGCUGCUGUCCGCGGCGGUGGCGGCGCCCGUACUGUGCGGCCUCAACGACGUGCGCGGCCGCGACC